GACGAACGCUGGCGGCGUGCUUAACACAUGCAAGUCGAACGAUGAAGCCGGAGCUUGCUCUGGUGAAUUAGUGGCGAACGGGUGAGUAACACGUGAGUAACCUGCCCUUGACUCUGGGAUAACUGCGGGAAACUGUAGCUAAUACCGGAUACGACCCUCGGAGGCAUCUCCUGGGGGUGGAAAGAAUUUCGGUCAAGGAUGGACUCGCGGCCUAUCAGCUAGUUGGUGAGGUAAAGGCUCACCAAGGCGACGACGGGUAGCCGGCCUGAGAGGGCGACCGGCCACACUGGGACUGAGACACGGCCCAGACUCCUACGGGAGGCAGCAGUGGGGAAUAUUGCGCAAUGGGCGAAAGCCUGACGCAGCGACGCCGCGUGAGGGAUGACGGCCUUCGGGUUGUAAACCUCUUUCAGCAGGGAAGAAGCGAAAGUGACGGUACCUGCAGAAGAAGCACCGGCUAACUACGUGCCAGCCGCCGCCGUAA
Molecule: ribosomal RNA, 484 nt
Filed under: uncultured bacterium
Lineage: Bacteria
Description: partial 16S ribosomal RNA
Rfam family: Bacterial small subunit ribosomal RNA
Source: RNAcentral